RNAcentral lists this ribosomal RNA (301 nucleotides) under uncultured bacterium. Its description in RNAcentral is "partial 16S ribosomal RNA". It matches the Rfam family "Bacterial small subunit ribosomal RNA", at positions 509 to 807 of the family's 1533-position model. The record is from RNAcentral.
CAGUCGCCGCGGGAAUACGUAGGGUGCAAGCGUUAAUCGGAAUUACUGGGCGUAAAGCGUGCGCAGGCGGUUUGUUAAGACAGAUGUGAAAUCCCCGGGCUCAACCUGGGAACUGCAUUUGUGACUGGCAGGCUAGAGUAUGGCAGAGGGGGGUGGAAUUCCGCGUGUAGCAGUGAAAUGCGUAGAUAUGCGGAGGAACACCGAUGGCGAAGGCAGCCCCCUGGGCCAAUACUGACGCUCAUGCACGAAAGCGUGGGGAGCAAACAGGAUUAGAUACCCGUGUAGUCCCUGUCUCUUAUAC